Molecule: long non-coding RNA, 435 nt
Organism: Suricata suricatta (meerkat)
Lineage: Eukaryota; Metazoa; Chordata; Mammalia; Carnivora; Herpestidae
Exons: 2
Source: RefSeq, a predicted model, not a curated record
ACUGGGAAGGAUCACUGUACUUAAAACUCACCUAAUGAAUGGCAGUCUGUGUGGUUUGGUAUCUCUGCCUUCCACAUCGGACAGGCAGGGGGCACGGGAUGCCUGAGAAACGUUGAGAAGUCCAUCUUUGUGGUCACUGCUCAAAAAAAGCACUGGAAACAUCUUUCAUGUUGCAAUGGCCCUCCGCCACACGGAAGAGUUAGCACAGUCUCCGGUGAACCGUUCUGGCCCCUGGCUGAGUUCCUCGGAUACUAAGUAAGAUCGUAAGACUCGGGUGUUGUAAUUUGGGAGGCGGCAGUUUCUUUCGCACAGACAAUGAGACAGUAUCAGCUGCCUUUACCUCAUACCAGGACACGCCGCUCGCCGCCUCGCAGGGAACCACCUUUCACGUGCUAGGCAGAAAGCAAAACGACUUAAAGCGAGUGGGAUCUUUCA